Molecule: ribosomal RNA, 699 nt
Filed under: uncultured marine archaeon
Lineage: Archaea
Description: bacterial SSU rRNA
Rfam family: Archaeal small subunit ribosomal RNA
Source: RNAcentral
AGUCAACCUACCCUAUGGACGGGAAUAAUCUCGGGAAACUGAGGAUAAUUCCAGAUAGAACACUAUGCCUGGAACGGUUUGUGUUCCAAAUGAUUUAUCGCCGUAGGAUGGGACUGCGUCCUAUCAGUUUGUUGGUGAGGUAAUGGCCCACCAAGACUAUUACAGGUACGGGCUCUGAGAGGAGUAGCCCGGAGAUGGGUACUGAGACACGGACCCAGGCCCUAUGGGGCGCAGCAGGCGAGAAAACUUUGCAAUGUGCGAAAGCACGACAAGGUUAAUCCGAGUGGUUCCUGCUAAAGGAACCUUUUGACGGUCCUAAAAACACCGUUGAAUAAGGGGUGGGCAAGUUCUGGUGUCAGCCGCCGCGGUAAAACCAGCACCUCAAGUGGUCAGGAUGAUUAUUGGGCCUAAAGCAUCCGUAGCCGGCUCUGUGAGUUUUCGGUUAAAUCUGUGCGCUCAACGUACAGGCUGCCGGGAAUACUGCAGAGCUAGGGAGUGGGAGAGGUAGACGGUACUUGGUAGGAAGGGGUAAAAUCCUUUGAUCUAUUGAUGACCACCUGUGGCGAAGGCGGUCUACCAGAACACGUCCGACGGUGAGGGAUGAAAGCUGGGGGAGCAAACCGGAUUAGAUACCCGGGUAGUCCCAGCUGUAAACCAUGCAAACUCAAUGAUGCAUUGGCUUGAAGCCAAUGCAGUGUU